RNAcentral lists this ribosomal RNA (461 nucleotides) under uncultured Pseudomonas sp. Its description in RNAcentral is "bacterial SSU rRNA". It matches the Rfam family "Bacterial small subunit ribosomal RNA", at positions 920 to 1382 of the family's 1533-position model. Lineage: Bacteria; Pseudomonadati; Pseudomonadota; Gammaproteobacteria; Pseudomonadales; Pseudomonadaceae. The record is from RNAcentral.
CCCGCACAAGCGGUGGAGCAUGUGGUUUUAAUUCGAUGAUACGCGAGGAACCUUACCUGGGCUCAAAUGUAUGUUGACGUAUUCUGAAAGGGAUACUUCUUCGGACAAUAUACAAGGUGCUGCAUGGUUGUCGUCAGCUCGUGCCGUGAGGUGUCGGGUUAAGUCCCAUAACGAGCGCAACCCUUGUCCUUAGUUACCAGCACGUUAUGGUGGGCACUCUAAGGAGACUGCCGGUGACAAACCGGAGGAAGGUGGGGAUGACGUCAAGUCAUCAUGGCCCUUACGGCCUGGGCUACACACGUGCUACAAUGGUCGGUACAAAGGGUUGCCAAGCCGCGAGGUGGAGCUAAUCCCAUAAAACCGAUCGUAGUCCGGAUCGCAGUCUGCAACUCGACUGCGUGAAGUCGGAAUCGCUAGUAAUCGUGAAUCAGAAUGUCACGGUGAAUACGUUCCCGGGCCUU